UUGAACGCUGGCGGCAGGCCUAACACAUGCAAGUCGAACGGUAACAGGAAGAAGCUUGCUUCUUUGCUGACGAGUGGCGGCCGGGUGAGUAAUGUCUGGGAAACUGCCUGAUGGAGGGGGAUAACUACUGGAAACGGUAGCUAAUACCGCAUAACGUCGCAAGACCAAAGAGGGGGACCUUCGGGCCUCUUGCCAUCGGAUGUGCCCAGAUGGGAUUAGCUAGUAGGUGGGGUAACGGCUCACCUAGGCGACGAUCCCUAGCUGGUCUGAGAGGAUGACCAGCCACACUGGAACUGAGACACGGUCCAGACUCCUACGGGAGGCAGCAGUGGGGAAUAUUGCACAAUGGGCGCAAGCCUGAUGCAGCCAUGCCGCGUGUAUGAAGAAGGCCUUCGGGUUGUAAAGUACUUUCAGCGGGGAGGAAGGGAGUAAAGUUAAUACCUUUGCUCAUUGACGUUACCCGCAGAAGAAGCACCGGCUAACUCCGUG
This 489-nucleotide ribosomal RNA is filed under the name uncultured bacterium. RNAcentral describes it as "partial 16S ribosomal RNA". It matches the Rfam family "Bacterial small subunit ribosomal RNA", at positions 30 to 507 of the family's 1533-position model. The record is from RNAcentral.